RNAcentral lists this ribosomal RNA (221 nucleotides) under Staphylococcus pettenkoferi. RNAcentral describes it as "partial 16S ribosomal RNA". It matches the Rfam family "Bacterial small subunit ribosomal RNA", at positions 1 to 214 of the family's 1533-position model. The record is from RNAcentral. Lineage: Bacteria; Bacillati; Bacillota; Bacilli; Caryophanales; Staphylococcaceae.
UUUAUGGAGAGUUUGAUCCUGGCUCAGGAUGAACGCUGGCGGCGUGCCUAAUACAUGCAAGUCGAGCGAACAGACGGGGAGCUUGCUCCCCCGACGUUAGCGGCGGACGGGUGAGUAACACGUGGGUAACCUACCUAUAAGACUGGAAUAACUCCGGGAAACCGGAGCUAAUGCCGGAUAACAUGUUGGACAGCAUGGUCCUACAGUGAAAGACGGUCUUG